This is a non-coding RNA of Triticum urartu, 135 nucleotides long. The record is from Rfam. NCBI's taxonomy places the organism in Eukaryota, Viridiplantae, Streptophyta, Magnoliopsida, Poales, Poaceae.
CAAGUACUCCGUCCGUUCCGAAUUAUUUGUCUUAGAUUUAUCCAGAUAUGGAUGUAUCUAGACUCAUUUUAAUGCUAGAUACCUUCGUAUCUAGACAAAUCUAAGACAAGUAAUUCGAAACGGAGGGAGUAGAUC